This 482-nucleotide ribosomal RNA is filed under the name uncultured bacterium. RNAcentral describes it as "partial 16S ribosomal RNA". It matches the Rfam family "Bacterial small subunit ribosomal RNA", at positions 30 to 507 of the family's 1533-position model. The record is from RNAcentral.
AUUGAACGCUGGCGGCAUGCUUUACACAUGCAAGUCGAACGGCAGCGCGGGGCAACCUGGCGGCGAGUGGCGAACGGGUGAGUAAUACAUCGGAACGUACCCAGAAGUGGGGGAUAACGUAGCGAAAGUUACGCUAAUACCGCAUACGUUCUACGGAAGAAAGUGGGGGACCUUCGGGCCUCAUGCUUUUGGAGCGGCCGAUGUCUGAUUAGCUAGUUGGUGAGGUAAAGGCUCACCAAGGCGAUGAUCAGUAGCUGGUCUGAGAGGACGACCAGCCACACUGGGACUGAGACACGGCCCAGACUCCUACGGGAGGCAGCAGUGGGGAAUUUUGGACAAUGGGCGCAAGCCUGAUCCAGCAAUGCCGCGUGAGUGAAGAAGGCCUUCGGGUUGUAAAGCUCUUUUGUCAGGGAAGAAACGGCUGAGGAUAAUACCUUCGGCUAAUGACGGUACCUGAAGAAUAAGCACCGGCUAACUACGUG